Molecule: ribosomal RNA, 557 nt
Filed under: uncultured fungus
Lineage: Eukaryota; Fungi
Description: eukaryotic LSU rRNA
Rfam family: 5.8S ribosomal RNA (bases 186-339)
Source: RNAcentral
CUGCGGAGGAUCAUUACUGCUUGCUCAUGGCCGUCCCUGGGGGCAACCCCUUGGGCGGUCCGGCAACCACACCCUUGUCUAUGUAUACCUUUUGUUAUUUCCCUCGGCGGGGUGACCCGCCGCUGGGGACACCGAACCCUCUUGUAUUAAAGCAUUAAAACUUCUGAACAAACCUAAAUUAUUACAACUUUCAACAAUGGAUCUCUUGGUUCUGGCAUCGAUGAAGAACGCAGCGAAAUGCGAUAAGUAUUGUGAAUUGCAGACUUUAGUGAAUCAUCGAAUCUUUGAACGCACAUUGCGCCCCUUGGUAUUCCAUUGGGCAUGCCUGUUCGAGCGUCAUUUACACCCUCAAGUUACGCUUGGUGUUGGGCGUCUGUCCCCGCUUCCCGCGAGGACUCGCCCCAAAUCCAUUGGCAGCGGCAUCGCCGGCUUCUCGCGCAGCACAUUGCGCUCCAGAAGGCUCCCGGCGGGCUCGCGUCCAGCAAGAACCCCCCCAGUUUGACCUCGAAUCAGGUAGGGAUACCCGCUGAACUUAAGCAUAUCAAUAAGCGGAGGAA